UCCUGGCCAGGCUGGGGCUGUUCUCACCAGAAAACAAAAAUGUCUUUCAGACCAAAGCAAAACGAGGCCCCAGCUGGCCCAGGCAGGCCAUCGGGCGUUGUUCACACUGACCCACUAUGAACACCAAUCACUGGGGCUCUCACUUUGCACCCACUGGAAGGAACCCACCAUCUUUGGAGAGGGAACUGGAGGCCUCAGUGGCUGCUGAGGAAAGCACUACGCCCCAAGAUUCACAUGAAUUAGGAGCUACACAAAGGAAGUAGGCCCAGGAAUAACCACACCUGCCACAGAUCUCCCAAGGCAGCCGAGCAAAUGAUGAGGAACCACCCCUGGGCAUCCUGAAGGACAACCCCAAAGGCUCAAAGCAGCAUCUCAUCCACAGCACUCCCCUAACCCCACCAAUCUGUGGACCCAGUGGAUGGUUAGUGGGAACUCUGGCAAGGCCAACGCAAGGAAUGGGAGCAUCACACCAGACCAUCCAGUGAGGUGAGGACCUUCACUGGGAAUUCCUCUCAUCUAUGCUUGGCAGAGUGGCCCAAGCUCCCAAUCUGUCAGGAGACUGGAACCUUGGAGCUCUAAGGAAGCAGCAGCCCUCAGAGAAGACUCUCUUCCACAAAACCGGUCACCCAGAAGCUGUGGGUUCACUAGUUCAUUCAUUCAUUCAGCAAACACUUCUGGAGCACCUCCUUCUAUUCCAGGCUGCACUGGUUCUCAGCACUCAGGGUUCUCCAGUGAAGGGUAACCUGGCCCUGCCUGCAAGGAGUUUACACCUGCUUUUCCCUACUGCUUCUAACAUAUUGGCAUCAUCCCCCACCUGGGCACAGAGCCUGGCAUCCUAGCAGGAGCACACUCAAAAUCUGUUGUUUACUGAUUGACUUGUGGUAAGGAAACAGCUUAUAAAACACAUUAUUAAAAUAAA
This 919-nucleotide non-coding RNA is filed under the name Pan troglodytes (chimpanzee). The record is from RNAcentral. Lineage: Eukaryota; Metazoa; Chordata; Mammalia; Primates; Hominidae.